CACUCCCUUCUUAUAGAGGUGGUACGAGGUUUAUACGUCCUUAUCCUUCAUGAGCUGGCAAAUCUAUUCAGAAUCAUUCCGUUAGAGAGGAAUUUUUGGGCUGGAUAUUUUUGGGCUGGAUUUGGUGGGGACCAAGGUAUGUGAAUCAUUUCCUCAAUUUGUCUGUAGCGAAAUCCACCAAAAAGUGUGGUCCUGUAUUAGCUCUAUUUUACUGAUGUGGAAUACUCAUGUAUUGUGGUUAAAAAUCCUAUUUUUUACCGUCCUGUCUUGAACUUGCAUUGUGUAUUGUUUAUUGUUGCAUUUGUUGUUCACAGAAUAUUAAAAUCGCAACUUUAGUGAAACAAUUACUUGCAUUUGUCUUUUAAGUUGCUACUGUGUACAUGCUAAUCUGAUUUUCUUUAACAAUUUCACCCAUAAAUUUUUAGCAGGGCAUCCUCCUUUGAAGUUGAGUGCAUGACACUAGAAAGGGGGAUAUACUCUUAGUCCAAAAUCUGCGACACUAUGGCGGUAACAGGCUGAGAUUCAUCAUACAAGAUUACGUUCGCGUGCAAAGAUUGGUACGUGUAGUCUCAGAAAACAGGAAGUUGUAGCUUGAUUGUUGAGGAUACAGUCCUUCCUAUCCAUUUGCUUUACUAUCUUAAUAAUCUUGUUGCAUAUGAAUCCUUGGCAAUCCAGCAUCCAGAGAGCCCGCUUUCCAGGUUCGGUACCUUCAGAGCUGCAUACUUGGAACCAGAAUAACUCAGCAUUGGACCAAAGUUUACGGCCACCCGUUAUCUUCCGCACUCCUUUUUCCUUCAUCUUACUUCUCACCAGGGAGACAUCUUUCCUUUAAUCAACUGAUGCAUAAAUGUAGACAACAAUGCAUAGUUUGAGGCUUGAGUUCAAAAAGACAUUUGUAUUGGUUUUGGUCAGUAAUACCAAUUUUUAUGGUUUUAUCCAAACAAUAUGCUUUAUGACUUUGUAGUGAAUGGUGUAAUGCCUGCUUCUUUCUGUUAUGUAAAUUCAUUUCUUCUGUUUUGUUCAUUGGUUUUAUAUUAAUCCUGUAACCGUACCAUGGUCUGUCAUGUGUUGUUGUAGGUCCAAGGUUUGGAAUUGUUUUAACCAUGCUACCGAUUAUGACUAAAAGGCAUUUGGCGUGUUUGUGAUAUGCAGGUACAGGGAUAAUUUAGAAAACCAUUUUCUCGCUUGGAAGUAGCAUUAGAUCAAACACAUACCAUAGCUGUCGACACACAUUAUCAAGCUUGGAGAUCACUUCUUGUAAUACGGUCGGUCUGUUCGUGCACGGGACUUAAGUGUGGUUUGUGUUUUGGUGAGGUAAGCUGCACUUGGUUCAUUUUUGGAUUGUGGAGGUAUUCAUUCAACUUAUGUUAUGUCAUGGUUUUAUCUGGUCAUGGAUAACUUGGUGUAGUGAUAAUGAUAUCAUGCUAGGCGUUCUUUGCCGGUUCAAUAUAACACAAUGAGUUUGGCCAAGGCUUGGAGAAAAAAAUGCAAAGCAAAUUAUCCUGAACUCGGGUGAUGAAACAUGGACAAUUGAGGUUUUGCUGUAAGUUGAACAUGGCUGCAACUUGCCGCCACCGCGACAUCAUUAUUCACAGUUGGCUUGGUUUUGCAGUUUGGAUUUGGACGGCUUGGCUAGUGGCGUUCCGAAUUUGUACUGCAUUAAAUCACCAGUUUGUUGUGCUCUGGAACUUCUUGAGCUUUCUGUAAUUACUUAGGCUUUUUAUUUGGAAUGCUGAAUUUUGAGUAGUUUGUAGCCUUAUGUCUGCUGCAUUCCUGGCUUUCCCGUCCAACUACCCUUUUUAUGUUCUAUAUGUUUUGGAUAUGUAUGCUGGCGGGAUAUGUAGACUGGAUAACGUUUUUAAUGGAAAAUUGGGUCAUGGAUGUUAGCAAAAGUGAUUAUGAAAAUGGAUUAUGGAUGUUAGUGGA
This 1926-nucleotide long non-coding RNA is filed under the name Lathyrus oleraceus (garden pea). Its description in RNAcentral is "Pisum sativum (pea) long non-coding RNA (PSAT_LNC039309)". Lineage: Eukaryota; Viridiplantae; Streptophyta; Magnoliopsida; Fabales; Fabaceae. The record is from RNAcentral.